RNAcentral lists this ribosomal RNA (253 nucleotides) under uncultured bacterium. RNAcentral's name for it is "partial 16S ribosomal RNA". It matches the Rfam family "Bacterial small subunit ribosomal RNA", at positions 524 to 776 of the family's 1533-position model. The record is from RNAcentral.
GACGUAGGGGGCUAGCGUUGUCCGGAAUUACUGGGCGUAAAGAGCUCGUAGGCGGCCUGUUAAGUCGGGUGUGAAAGCCCUCGGCUCAACCGAGGAACUGCACUCGAUACUGGCGGGCUAGAGUCUGGUAGAGGGAGGUGGAAUUCCCGGUGUAGCGGUGAAAUGCGCAGAUAUCGGGAGGGAAACCGGGGGCGAAGGCGGCCUCCUGGGCCACGACUGACGCUGAGGAGCGAAAGCUGGGGGAGCGAACAGG